This is a long non-coding RNA of Epinephelus moara (kelp grouper), 678 nucleotides long. RefSeq lists it as uncharacterized. The transcript is spliced from 3 exons. Lineage: Eukaryota; Metazoa; Chordata; Actinopteri; Perciformes; Serranidae. The record is from RefSeq and is a predicted model, not a curated record.
CAUUUCCCUCUCUCAGCCAACAUGGCUCCUCUCUGACAGCUGCUUAAGAGGGAUACCACCUGGACCCGGGCCCCCCAACUACAAAGAGGAUCUACGGUUCAUCGAGCAACAGCUCACCAAUCCCACUCUCCAUAUACACUGGCCCACUUGAGCCUGGAUGAGCCCACAGAGCUCGUCGCUCUGCUCUGCUUCGCCCUGUGCUGGAGUGAAGCAGCCAGUCGCCACCACUUGAAUCCUCUGAGAAAGUCCGAGGUUAAAGCUGCAGGCACAAACUGUGUUGUACCGAGGGACCUUGUGUGCACAGUUUACCCUCUGCGCAGUGAAAACAGACCAGCCGGCUCCGGAGCCAGUGACUCCCACAGAGAGCAUCAGUACCACAGGACCACAUUCCCAUCGAUCUGUGUGGAGAACUCCAUCAAGCUCCCAGUAGGACACUACAGCAAAGUGAAAAUAAUCUACCGACUACAAAGUGCAACUAGGUUCAUUGCUUUGGCUCUCCACUCUCGUCAACCUGAUCUCCAGCAUCAGCAGCAGGCCUGCAGCUAAUUUCAGAGGAGGGCAACUUGAGUCACAUGACCUGACUCGAGUCAGGCUUGAAUCGCAAAUUUGAAGACUUGAGACUUAACUUAGACUUGAGACAGAUGACUCAAAAAGAACUUGAUUUAUUUUUGUGAAAUA